UACAGAGGGGGCAAGCGUUAUUCGGAAUUAUUGGGCGUAAAGGGCGCGUAGGCGGCCUGGCAAGUGGGAGGUGAAAUCCCUCGGCUUAACCGAGGAACUGCCUCCCAAACUGCUUGGCUUGAGACCGGGAGAGGUGAGUGGAAUUCCCAGUGUAGCGGUGAAAUGCGUAGAUAUUGGGAGGAACACCAGUGGCGAAGGCGGCUCACUGGACCGGUACUGACGCUGAUGCGCGAAAGCGUGGGGAGCAAACGGG
This 253-nucleotide ribosomal RNA is filed under the name uncultured bacterium. RNAcentral's name for it is "partial 16S ribosomal RNA". It matches the Rfam family "Bacterial small subunit ribosomal RNA", at positions 524 to 776 of the family's 1533-position model. The record is from RNAcentral.